GAUGAAGAACGUAGCGAAAUGCGAUAAGUAAUGUGAAUUGCAGAAUUCAGUGAAUCAUCGAAUCUUUGAACGCACAUUGCGCCCGUCAGUAUUCUGGCGGGCAUGCCUGUUCGAGCGUCAUUUCAACCAUCAAGCCCCAGGCUUGUGUUGGGGACCUGCGGCUGCCGCAGGCCCUGAAAACCAGUGGCGGGCUCGCUGUCACACCGGGCGUAGUAGAUUUUAUCUCGCUCUGGGCGUGCUGCGGGUUCCGGCCGUUAAAAAACCCUUUUAACCCAAGGUUGACCUCGGAUCAGGUAGGAAUACCCGCUGAACUUAAGCAUAUCAAUAAGCGGAGGA
Molecule: unclassified non-coding RNA, 336 nt
Filed under: soil metagenome
Description: partial contains 5.8S ribosomal RNA, internal transcribed spacer 2, and large subunit ribosomal RNA
Rfam family: 5.8S ribosomal RNA (bases 1-120)
Source: RNAcentral